AGAGUUUGAUCAUGCCUUAGAUUGAACGCUGGCGGCAUGCCUUACACAUGCAAGUCGAACGGUAACAGGUCUUCGGAUGCUGACGAGUGGCGAACGGGUGAGUAAUACAUCGGAACGUGCCCGAUCGUGGGGGAUAACGGAGCGAAAGCUUUGCUAAUACCGCAUACGAUCUACGGAUGAAAGCAGGGGACCGCAAGGCCUUGCGCGGACGGAGCGGCCGAUGGCAGAUUAGGUAGUUGGUGGGAUAAAAGCUUACCAAGCCGACGAUCUGUAGCUGGUCUGAGAGGACGACCAGCCACACUGGGACUGAGACACGGCCCAGACUCCUACGGGAGGCAGCAGUGGGGAAUUUUGGACAAUGGGCGAAAGCCUGAUCCAGCCAUGCCGCGUGCAGGAUGAAGGCCUUCGGGUUGUAAACUGCUUUUGUACGGAACGAAAAGACUCCUUCUAAUACAGGGGGUCCAUGACGGUACCGUAAGAAUAAGCACCGGCUAACUACGUGCCAGCAGCCGCGGUAAUACGUAGGGUGCAAGCGUUAAUCGGAAUUACUGGGCGUAAAGCGUGCGCAGGCGGUUAUGUAAGACAGAUGUGAAAUCCCCGGGCUCAACCUGGGAACUGCGUUUGUGACUGCAUAGC
RNAcentral lists this ribosomal RNA (636 nucleotides) under uncultured bacterium. RNAcentral describes it as "bacterial SSU rRNA". It matches the Rfam family "Bacterial small subunit ribosomal RNA", at positions 8 to 641 of the family's 1533-position model. The record is from RNAcentral.